RNAcentral lists this ribosomal RNA (337 nucleotides) under Babesia annae. RNAcentral's name for it is "SSU rRNA". It matches the Rfam family "Eukaryotic small subunit ribosomal RNA", at positions 548 to 904 of the family's 1831-position model. The record is from RNAcentral. Lineage: Eukaryota; Apicomplexa; Aconoidasida; Piroplasmida; Babesiidae.
UUGGAGGGCAAGUCUGGUGCCAGCAGCCGCGGUAAUUCCAGCUCCAAUAGCGUAUAUUAAAGUUGUUGCAGUUAAGAAGCUCGUAGUUGAAUUUCUGCCUUAUCAUUAAUUUCGCUUCCGAACGUAAUUUUAUUGAUUUGGCAUCUUCUGGAUUAUAUAUUAUUUUUAAUAUAUUUUUCCAGUAUUUUACUUUGAGAAAACUAGAGUGUUUCAAACAGGCUUUUGCCUUGAAUACUACAGCAUGGAAUAAUGAAGUAGGACUAUUGGUUCUAUUUUGUUGGUUAUCGAACCAUAGUAAUGGUUAAUAGGAGCAGUUGGGGGCAUUCGUAUUUAACUG